GGAGGCUUCGCCUAGUCCGGUCUAUGGCGCCUCACUGCUAAUGAGGUUUGGGCCUUAAAGCCCAUCCGGGGUUCAAAUCCCCGAGCCUCCG
Molecule: transfer RNA, 91 nt
Filed under: Mycobacteriales bacterium
Lineage: Bacteria; Bacillati; Actinomycetota; Actinomycetes; Mycobacteriales
Description: tRNA-Ser
Rfam family: tRNA
About the family: Transfer RNA (tRNA) molecules are approximately 80 nucleotides in length. Their secondary structure includes four short double-helical elements and three loops (D, anti-codon, and T loops).
Source: RNAcentral